Molecule: ribosomal RNA, 428 nt
Filed under: uncultured bacterium
Lineage: Bacteria
Description: bacterial SSU rRNA
Rfam family: Bacterial small subunit ribosomal RNA
Source: RNAcentral
AUUAGGAAUCUUGCGCAAUGGGGGCAACCCUGACGCAGCGACGCCGCGUGGAGGAAGAAGGUUCUAGGAUCGUAAACUCCUUUUAUAUGGGAAGAAUAACUGACGGUACCAUAUGAAUAAGCACCUGCUAACUACGUGCCAGAAGCAUCGGUGAUGCGUAGGGUGCAAACAUUAUCCGGAUUUAUUGGGCGUAUAGAGAUGCGUAGGCGUUUUUGUAAGUUUGUUGUCAAAUCUCAAUGCUCAACAUUGAACAGGCAACGAAAACUGCAUUGAUGGAGAAAGGAAGAGGUGAACGGAAUUCCCGGUGGAGCGGUGAAAUGCGUUGAUAUCGGGAGGAACACCAGAGGCGAAAGCGGUUCACUGGUCCUUUUCUGACGCUAAGGCUCGAAAGCGUGGGUAGCAAAACGGAUUAGAUACCCUAGUAGUCC